RNAcentral lists this transfer RNA (74 nucleotides) under Parcubacteria group bacterium ADurb.Bin247. RNAcentral's name for it is "tRNA-Ala". It matches the Rfam family "tRNA". Rfam says of the family: Transfer RNA (tRNA) molecules are approximately 80 nucleotides in length. The record is from RNAcentral.
GGGCCUGUAGUAUAAUGGUAUCACGAAUCCAUGGCAUGGAUUUAAUCGGGGUUCGAUUCCCCGCAGGUCCACCA